Molecule: long non-coding RNA, 535 nt
Organism: Homo sapiens (human)
Lineage: Eukaryota; Metazoa; Chordata; Mammalia; Primates; Hominidae
Gene: THAP3P1
Product: THAP3 pseudogene 1
Source: Ensembl
AUGGGAGAUGCUCCUCAGGGAGGAAGCCAUGUGAGGGGGCCGGCUCUGUGGCAGACCUAUAUGAAGCUUUGGCAGUUCAAAGGGUCAGAGAGACCCCUCAAAGAAAGAUACUGGCCUUGUUGAACAGCUGGACUGACAGGCCCAAGUGAAUGAACACCCAUGCCCCUGGAAACUGUGCAUUAGAGGAGAAAACAGAGAAACUUCCUUUGGGCCUGACUGGGUAUUCAGUGACCAUCAGGUCAUUUCAUUUGAUUUGUUGGAAUCCUGACCAAACUGGAAAAGUGGCAGUAACCAUGGAAAAGUCAAAGACAAAAUGACAGCCAAAUCACACCAGUAAAUAAGUGGAGUGAAGACACGUCUGUUUUCACAGCUGAACACUGGAAAUUGCAAAUUUGAUUGCCACUGGCAUUGGAUGCUGGAACUGCUUCUGUUUUUACUGACACUAGCAUACCGGGAUACUUCGAAGUUGCUGUAGUCUCUGCAAUAUUGAGUGUUGGAAGGUGCUAGAAAAUGAGUGUCUGUCUUUUUUGUCUUU